RNAcentral lists this ribosomal RNA (1354 nucleotides) under uncultured bacterium. RNAcentral's name for it is "bacterial SSU rRNA". It matches the Rfam family "Bacterial small subunit ribosomal RNA", at positions 24 to 1376 of the family's 1533-position model. The record is from RNAcentral.
UCAGAUUGAACGCUGGCGGUAUGCUUUACACAUGCAAGUCGAACGGAUUAAGAAGCUUGCUUCUUGGUUAGUGGCGAACGGGUGAGUAAUAUAUCGGAACAUAUCCGGAAGUGGGGGAUAACGUAGCGAAAGUUACGCUAAUACCGCAUAUGCCCUGAGGGGGAAAGGGGGGGAUCGCAAGACCUCUCGCUUUCGGAGUGGCCGAUAUCGGAUUAGCUAGUAGGUGAGGUAAAGGCUCACCUAGGCGACGAUCCGUAGCUGGUCUGAGAGGACGACCAGCCACACUGGAACUGAGACACGGUCCAGACUCCUACGGGAGGCAGCAGUGGGGAAUUUUGGACAAUGGGCGAAAGCCUGAUCCAGCCAUACCGCGUGAGUGAAGAAGGCCUUCGGGUUGUAAAGCUCUUUCAGCCGGAAAGAAAUCGCAUUCCUUAAUACGGGAUGUGGAUGACGGUACCGGAAGAAGAAGCACCGGCUAACUACGUGCCAGCAGCCGCGGUAAUACGUAGGGUGCGAGCGUUAAUCGGAAUUACUGGGCGUAAAGCGUGCGCAGGCGGUUUUGUAAGCCAGAUGUGAAAUCCCCGGGCUUAACCUGGGAACUGCAUUUGGAACUGUAAGACUAGAGUAUAGCAGAGGGGGGUAGAAUUCCACGUGUAGCAGUGAAAUGCGUAGAUAUGUGGAGGAAUACCAAUGGCGAAGGCAGCCCCCUGGGUUAAUACUGACGCUCAUGCACGAAAGCGUGGGGAGCAAACAGGAUUAGAUACCCUGGUAGUCCACGCCCUAAACGAUGUCAACUAGGUGUUGGGGGAGGAGACUUCCUUAGUACCGCAGCUAACGCGUGAAGUUGACCGCCUGGGGAGUACGGUCGCAAGAUUAAAACUCAAAGGAAUUGACGGGGACCCGCACAAGCGGUGGAUUAUGUGGAUUAAUUCGAUGCAACGCGAAUAACCUUACCUACCCUUGACAUGUCAGAAAAAUCGCAGAGAUGUGAGUAGAUCCGUAAGGAUGGUAACACAGGUGCUGCAUGGCUGUCGUCAGCUCGUGUCGUGAGAUGUUGGGUUAAGUCCCGCAACGAGCGCAACCCUUGUCAUUAAUUGCCAUCAUUGAGUUGGGCACUUUAAUGAGACUGCCGGUGAUAAACCGGAGGAAGGCGGGGAUGACGUCAAGUCCUCAUGGCCCUUAUGGGUAGGGCUUCACACGUAAUACAAUGGUCGGUACAGAGGGUUGCCAACCCGCGAGGGGGAGCUAAUCUCAGAAAGCCGAUCGUAGUCCGGAUUGUAGUCUGCAACUCGACUACACGAAGUCGGAAUCGCUAGUAAUCGCGGAUCAGCAUGUCGCGGUGAAUACGUUCCCG